This 111-nucleotide transfer RNA is filed under the name Nanobdellota archaeon. RNAcentral's name for it is "tRNA-Lys". It matches the Rfam family "tRNA". From Rfam's summary of the family: Transfer RNA (tRNA) molecules are approximately 80 nucleotides in length. Their secondary structure includes four short double-helical elements and three loops (D, anti-codon, and T loops). RNAcentral also lists the same sequence under 1 other name. The record is from RNAcentral. Lineage: Archaea; Nanobdellati; Nanobdellota.
GGGCUCGUAGCUCAGCUUGGUGGAAACUCUGUAGCUUAAGAAAGUUAUAAAGUUGCCAAAAGCAAUAGACUCUUAAUCUAUGGGUCGUGGGUUCAAAUCCCACCGAGCCCG